Molecule: RNA transcript, 10056 nt
Organism: Halichondria panicea
Lineage: Eukaryota; Metazoa; Porifera; Demospongiae; Suberitida; Halichondriidae
Gene name: neurotrypsin-like
Exons: 2
Source: RefSeq, a predicted model, not a curated record
UGCAUGCAGACUGCUUAUGAAAAGUGAUGACCUUUUUUUUAGUUCGGUGUGUUAAUAAUUAUUAUUAGCGCAUGCUCACUGUUUCGAAGAAGUGACGACCUUUUUUUUAACAGUCCUUGACCCGCUCAGAGCCCUGGAACCCCCCUUUCAAGAAUCCUAGAUCCGCCACUGCUCUUGAGCACCCCCUGCCUCAAUCUCUAGAAACGCCCAUGAACAAAGGACCCUAGCAGUGAAGGCUGCGAUGAAAAGUAGGAAUUACCUGUGGGGUGAAAAAUAUGCUUUGGGUAUACAUGUAAUUAUCUGACUAGUCUAUAUACAUGUACAAAUCAGAGAUACCAAAAUUUCGGUAUUACUAUGCUGUACAAACGUUUAUUGUCCUGAUUAGUCUAACGUAGCAUUAUUCCAAUGAAGCAUAAUUAUAGCUACUCAAGCAAAAGAAGCAAUCCUAUUCGAAAGUACCUUUUGUUAGUGCAUAUUCAUUAAAUAUUCACACAGCUCAAAAUCAAUAUGAACGUUUUAACUUUCCCGAACCAUACGAAAAUACAUAUGUUAUAUACAUAUACUAUAUACGGUAGUGACUUCAGGUAUACAAAGAAGGAGCCGCUGCUCCACAGAAAAUAAAAGCUACUUUAAGAUUCCUAUCAUAAAACAGAAACCAAAGCUACGAUGUCGUACUAUAUAUACUUACAACAAAUCAUAUCAACCACCAACACAUGCAAUUAAGUGUAAUUGUGUUGAUGUUAUUAUACUACCAAUUCUCAAGUAGGUGCAUGGUUGUAUAAACACACAAAGUAAACCGUAAUGCGCUAAACACGAAAGUGUAAGUGGAACAAUUAUAGUUAUAUGGAGGUGGCCCAGAACUUACAUUCGGGAAAGUAUAAAGGCAUGCAAUCCAAUUAAAUCCAAUACAAGAGUUAAUCUACAACUUUACUGGUUUUGAGAUCAACGUACAAUGCAAUUGCUACUAUUUGCUGUUGUGCUGGCUGUAACACAUCAAGGACACUGCUUUACAGACUUCAGACAAGACUGGGACAAUAUUUUGUAUGUCAGAUCAGACAAUGGAUUGAACACGAUAUGCCCAAGGCAACCAUGUGAGACACUGGACCAUUACGCAAACGUAAGUCAUUUGAACAACACAAAGUUCAUGUUCAUGCCAGGAUUGCACACUCUCAGUAAAAACUUUCGUAUUGACUCUCUUAUGAAUAUUGAACUCGAUAGUAUGAAGGAUAGCAGAAAUGAGACAGAGAUUGUAAAAAUUCAGUGUUAUAAAGCAGCAGGAUUUAUGUUUAAAAACAUAAACUUUAUCACUAUCAAAAAUCUGCAAAUCUCUGCAUGUGGUCAAAAUAUACCAGUUAGUACUUACAGCGAAUUAGGGCACUUUCAAGCGGCAGUUGCUCUUAAGGAUGUAACUGCUCUAACAAUGCAAUCGAUAACCAUUCGCGACAGUAAUGGAUACGGGAUAGCUGCUGAGGGACUGUAUGGAUACUCAAUAAUGGAGGACUGCCUACUGGUGAACAACACUGGUAGCGAAAAAUUCUUUGGGGGUAAUUUUGUACUAAAAUACUAUGAAGAUUGUCCAAGUAUUGACACAAACGAGCGGAUUUAUGUGAGAAUUAUGAGAUGUAAAUUUUUGAAUGGAAGUGCACAACAUAUCAAACAUGACUCAUAUACCAAAUGUCAAACCAAAGCAACUGGCAUAUCUUUGUUUCUUUCGUGCACAAAUGUUACUAUUCACAUGUCAGAGGUGCAACUAAAAUACAAUAAAGCAUACAGCUUUUCCAGUAAAGGAGGAAACCUUUUCAUUCUGCUCGGAAACGCCAAACAAUAUACGAGCAAUACGGUCAUUGUGGAGAAUAGUAACGUUGUCAAGGGAACAGCAGUUAUGGGUGGAGGAGCAUACGUUAGAUUCAAGCAGCCUCCCCAAGAACCUGACAACAUAACAGUUGCAUGCGAAAACUAUGUUAGUUUUAGAAAUGUAAACUUUACUAGUAACAGUGGUAAAGUUAGAGGAGGUGCUCUGUACAUAUUGUUCGAAACAGCGAGCAUGUACAAGUCUUGUCCUAAAGGAACUGUUGAAAUAGACGGCUGUUACUUUGUAGACAAUAUUUUAAAUGCUUCCGAAGCAGACAGUGGUCUAGCUAUCAACAUAUAUUGCUAUCUGAUUAACGGAGUGGAAGCAACAUCUCUUCCUUUCAAUACAGUUAUCAUUGCUCGAAGUCACUUUCUGAGAAACAAACUAUUAACGCAGACAGAAAAUAGUCAAGAUCUAAUUUCCGGAGGAGCUACUGUCUUCAUUAGUAAACAGAGAAGACAAACAUUUAUCAAUGACUCUAGCUUUGUAAAUAACAGCAUAACGGCCAUUUCUGCUUUCAGAUCAAAUAUUGUGUUCAGUGGCAUUGUGACCAUAACAAAUAAUACAGGCCUUGAUGGUGGGGGCCUAGUUCUCUGUCAAAGUUCGUACAUUUUGUUCAGCCCAAAUACCACUGUGACAUUUGAAAAUAACAAAGCUAUUUUAUCUGGAGGAGGCAUAUACGCAGAAGAUCAGUGCUUACAAUCUAAGCCACUGUGUUUUUAUCAAGUGCACAUUGCUAGCAAUUCGUUACCUAGACAUCAAAAGAAGCAAAUAUUGGACACCAUUCAUGUGGUAAUGAUCAACAACACUGCUGGAUACGCUGGAAGUCAGAUAUUUGGAGGGUUUAUGGAUAAAUGCCAUACAACAUUUGGCAUCAGGAGUACGCUAGUUUACAAAAAAAUUUUUAAUGAAGUUUCAUGGCAAUGGAAUAAAUCUAAUCUCUCCUAUGUGACCUCAUUUCCAAAACAUAUUUGCUUUUGUGCAGGAAAAAAAAUUAAUUGUGAAAAAAACAACAAAAGUAUCCAUCAAACCAUAUAUCCAGGUCAAUUGUUCGAUGUGUCUCUUGUUGCUGUGGGACAAUUUAACAAUCCUGUUCCAGCUACUAUCUUGAUCUUGGCCAACAUCUCAAGAGGGAAACCUUACCAUCAUACUAUCAAAGCUGAAUGCAGUACCAUAACACUGACAUCAGGACAAAAUACUACUACAAGAGAGGGAAAAGUAGUAAUUCUCAUACAAUCAGACUCUGGUGCCCUAGGAGGAACUUACUUACGAUCGAUAAACAUAACAUAUCGAAACUGUCCAUUGGGAACUGUAAUAAAUAAAACAACUGGCUUUUGUUAUUGGUCUUCCGAAGACAGUACUUAUAACGCUAGUGACCAAACUAUUCAAAAACCAGGCUUAACAUGGAUAGGUUACCAUAACGAUACUGAUACUGACUCCAAAAUUGGAAAUGGUUUCAUAAAGUUUUCAUACUGUCCACAGCUGUAUUGUGACUAUAAUGUAACAUCUAUAAACAUCAGUGAAACAUUCGAUCCAGAUCAGCAAUGUCGAAGAGACAGAACCGGAAUUUUAUGUGGAGCGUGUAGGACGCCAUACAGCUCAGCCAUAAGUUCAACCAAGUGUGUCCAGUGUUCAGACCAUAGUAUUACAUACCGGCUUCUCCUUCUGCUAGGCCCUCUAGUGGUUGCAGUUCUAGCUCUGCUCUUCAUGCUUUGGUGUAAUGUGACCAUCACAGACGGAACAAUAAAUGGAUUCCUAUUCUACACUAGUAUGUUUCAUGUUAGCGAGGAAUUAUUCUUACAUCCUUUGCAAUGGUCUUCUGCCUUAUCCAGCCUGGUGGCUUGGUUCAACUUGUAUAUAGGCAUGAGUGUGUGCUUUUACAAUGGUUUCGAUGUUUUUGGACAAGUCAUCUUGAAUUUGUUUGUCCCUCUAUUUGUUUGGAUAGGAUUAGGACUACUGAUUCUUAUUAGCUCAAAAUCAAGUCGGAUUACUCGAUUUGUUGGUAAGAAUGCUGUGAAAGUGCUGGCUACAAUCAUACUACUUUCCUACACCACAAUUCUUCAAGCUGAAGUGGCUGUGUUUUCCUGCUCAACGAUACAAUAUCCUAAUGUUGUAUCUAUUAAUUGUCUUCACUUUGACAUAGAUAAAUAUUCUUGGGGUAGAAUAGAACACACCGAGCACAGUACAGAACCUUCUUAUAUAUACAAAGCUAAAGUAACUUCUAGAAGUUUCCACUAAGUACAAAGUACAGUUCCAAUUCUAGCUAGAUUGUUCUAGAUCAUUACAGAUACAUUACAGCUACUUCUAGAUAGUUCCGGUGGAUACUACAUUCCUCCACCCUUAGAUUGAAGGUUCAUCUGUGGUGGGAAUUGAAUAUCCGUAACGUUCCGGUUGUCUAUGACCUCUAGUAGAUCGUCUGAGAGGCUCUUGAGCUUGAAGUUGCUCUUCUUCUUGUGAAUCUUCUGGUUGAGCUGGUUCUUCUUGGUUUUGUGAUUCUUCUGGCUGAGCUGGUGAUGAGGGUAUGUCUAUCUCAUCGGGCAUUUCUUCUUCAGUUUGCUGCGGUUCAUCGGAGGAUGAAGAGCGACUUCGAACAUGAUCCACAUGUCUCCUAACUAGUCGUUCGUCUUCUAGUCUCACUCCGUACGUAAGAUUUCCUUGUUUCGAUACAAUCACUCCAGGCGUCCAUGGUGAAUUGGUACCUGCUUCUCUAACAUACACUUUGUCUUGUGGGAAGAAUGAGCGUUCUUUCACUCUGACGUCAUGAGAUGACUUCUGCGAGAGCUGUUUGUUUUCUACCUUAGCUCUGAUGUUUGGCCUUAACAAGUCCAAGCAUGUUCGGAGGGAACGUCCCAUGAGUAGUUCUGCUGGAGUCUGGCCAGUUGUAGAAUGAGGCGUUGUUCGAUAAUGAAACAAAAAACGAGCUAGUUUGGUACUUAACUCUCCAGAUCUACUUUUCUUCAUUGCUCUCUUGAAAGUCUGGACUGCUCUUUCUGCAAGACCAUUGGUUGAUGGAUGGUAUGGUGCAGAUAGAUGUUAAGUGACGAAUUCCAUUGCUCUUGGUAAAUGUCUUGAACUCGAAACUUGUAAAUGGAGUGCCAUUAUCAGACACUAUGACUUCGGGUAUCCCGUGGGUAGAGAACACUUGCCUAAGUGCUGUAACUGUCUGAGUGGAGUUGGCAGACGACACAGGCAUAACUUCUAACCAUUUUGAGUAAGCAUCCACAAUUACGAGAAACAUUUUCCCGAUAAAUGGUCCAGCGUAGUCGAUGUGUAGUCUUGUCCAUGGCGUCUUUGGCCAUUCCCAAGGAUGUAAAGGGGCAAUUGGAGGAGACUUUUGGUGAAGUGCACACAUCUCGCACGUUUUUACCUUGUUUUCGAUAUCCGAAUCGAUUCCUGGCCACCAAACGACACUUCUUGCUAGUAGCUUCAUCUUUGUUAUUCCUGGAUGUCCAUCGUGUAGAAUUUCUAAGGUCUUGUUUCUGCCUUCUUCUGGAACAACAACUCUUUCUCCCCGCAGCACACAAGAAUCCUGUACACUUAAUUCCUUGUGACAUUUUUGGUAGGGUUGCAACUUCUCGUCAUCUGAGAAUUUCCAUCCUGACAACACUAAUCUUCUGACUUUAGACAUUACUGGAUCGUGGUCUGUCCAGAAGCGGAUUUUCUUGGAAUCGACUGGUGCACUAUGAAGAGUUUCCAUUAAAAGAACUGUUUCUCCUGGCAGACUCGCUUCUUUCACUGUCUCUGGAAGAGGUAGGCGGCUUAGGACAUCUGCGUUGCCAUGUUGUUGUCCUGGUCGGUAUUCGAUCUUGUAAUCGUACGCACUGAGAAUCAGAGCCCAUCUCUUAAUCCUGGCAGAUGCCAACACCGGUAUCGGCUUGUUUUCACUGAGUAGGUGUUGCAGUGGUUUGUGAUCAGAGAGAAUGAUGAAUUUUCGACCUUGUAGAUACUGCUGGAACUUCUUUACUCCAAAUACAAUUGAGAGUGCUUCUUUGUCCAAUUGGGCAUAUUUUCUUUCAGCCGGUGCCAAUGAUCUGCUGGCAAAAGCUAUUGGCUUCUCACUUCCGUCAUCCAGUCUGUGUGAAAUAACUGCUCCUAACCCAUAAGGUGAGGCGUCACAUGAUAGCAACAGGGUCUUUUCGGGGUUGUAGUGUGUGAGUACAUUCGUAGACGUCAGUUGCUGCUUAGCUUCCUUGAAUGCUAACUCCUGUUCUUUUCCCCAUGUCCACUUCACUUCCUUCUGCAGGAGCUUGUUCAGUGGUGCCAGCUUACUGGACAGAUUGGAUAAGAACUUUCGAUAAUAACUGAUAGCGCCCAGGAAAGAUCUCAAUUGUUGGAGAUUGUUGGGAGCUGGUGCUUCAAGUAGAGCUCGAACCUUCUCUUGGCUAGGUUGUAUGCCUUUAGCUGAGAUGACGUUACCCAAAUACUGAAUACUUGGUAGCAUAAAGGCUGAUUUGGCAGGGUUGAGUCGGAGAUCUGCUUGUUCCAAUCGUGUGAGUACCUUGUCCAGGUUUUGCAGAUGCUCUUGUUCUGUUUUUCCGGUGACAACAAUGUCAUCAAUGUAAGCUGCUACUCCAUCGAGACCGCUCAAGACUCCAUCCAUAACUCUCUGGAAUAUGGAAGGUGCUGAAGAAAUACCGAACGGAAGUCGAGUAUACUGGAAAAGACCUUUGCUCGUGUUGAUAGUUGUGAACUUCUUGGACUCGGUAUCAAGUGAGACUUGCUGAAAAGCGUUAGAUAAGUCGAGUUUAGAGUAUGUUUUACCUCCUUCCAGCUGAGAGAAUAGAUCUUCAAUCCUGGGUAAUGGGUACUUGUCUAGCUUCGAUGCAGAGUUGACUGUCACUUUGUAGUCGCUGCAUAUACGAAGAGAUCCAUUGGGCUUGAUCACAGAAACAAUGGGUGCAGCCCAUUCAGAAAACUCUACAGGCUCGAUGACGCCUUCAUUCUGAAGUCGGUCUAGUUCGGCAUUGACCUUUCCCUCAGAGCAUAGGCUACAGGCCUUGCCUUGCAGAAUCUCGGUGAUGAGGCAGGGUCAACAUGAAUCUUUGCUGAAUAACUUUUGACUAGUCCAAGUCCUUCCUUGAAAACAUUGGGAUGUUUCGCAAUAACAGCUUUCAGUGUGUGUUCCUCUUCCACUUUGUGCACUAACUUGUUCCAGUUUAGGCGGAUUUUUUUCAUCCAGUCUUUUCCAAGUAGACUUGGACCAUUUCCAACGACUACUAGAAGAGGAAGCUGCUCCUUUUGACUCUCGUAAACCACUUCAAUCGUCGUGGUUCCCUGUACCUUGAUGAUUUCUCCCGAGUAAGUACGUAACUUGACAUUUGUAUUCUUCAGUGGAGGUAAACGACCUCGCCAGAGUUUCUUGUAAGUAGCUUCACUGAUGAUGGAAGCUGAAGCUCCGGUGUCCACUUCCAUUUCAAGGUCAGCUUGAUUUGCUUUCACGGUAACAGUGAUCGGCUCAGUAGUGUUCGUUCUUGUACAAUGUAGGAGUAGAAUUUCAUCUUCAGUUCCUUCUGACUCACUUUGUUCCUGACUGACUCUAUGAGUUGACUUGCUUUUUGUCUUAGAGCGACAUACUCGAGCGAUGUGUCCUUUCUUCUUGCAUUCACGACACUCAGCUUCUCGGAAUCGACAAUCCCUUUGGGCAUGGUUUCCUCCACAGCGGUAGCAAGGUCCAAACGUUUUGCUCUUGCUUUCCUUUUGACUUGUUUUAGAGUGCUGGACUUUGUGUAGAGCUUCAGUGUUCUGUGUCUUGCUUGCUUGGAGUUCUUGAGAGUUGCGAGUUGCUGCCUCUGCCGCUAAUGCUAAUUCCAUAGCUUUUUGAAGGGUGAGAUUUGUUUCUGAGAGUAAACGCUGUUGAAUCCUCCUAUCUCUGACUCCACAAACGAGUCUAUCUCUAAGCAUGUCAUCCAGAAUAGCUUCGUAUUUGCAGUGCUCAGAGAGUCUUCUCAGGCUGGCCAUGAAUGCUGAAAUUGUCUCUCCUUCUUUCUGGCUUCGCAUAUUAAAAUUGUAUCGCUGCACGAUGAACGAUGGUGGAGGCUGGUGGUGUUCUUUCACGAGUUGUACUACCUCUUGGAAAGUCUUGGUGCUUGGCCGUUCUGGAGCCACUAAGUCUCUGAUCAGUUGAUACGUUGAUGCUCCACAUACACUCAGUAAUAUAGCCCUCUGCUUCUCUGCAGCGUCGACAUCAUUCGCCUGAAAAUACUGCUCUAGUCUUUCAGUGUAGGAUAUCCAGUCUUCUUUGUCUGGACAGAAUUCUCCAAAAGCGCCAUGCUGGGUAGCCAUAGCUUCUUCUUGUCUUCUGAGUUAAUCCUCGUCGCCAAUUGUUGUAUCUAUUAAUUGUCUUCACUUUGACAUAGAUAAAUAUUCUUGGGGUAGAAUAGAACACACCGAGCACAGUACAGAACCUUCUUAUAUAUACAAAGCUAAAGUAACUUCUAGAAGUUUCCACUAAGUACAAAGUACAGUUCCAAUUCUAGCUAGAUUGUUCUAGAUCAUUACAGAUACAUUACAGCUACUUCUAGAUAGUUCCGGUGGAUACUACACCUAACAAUACCAGUAAGCAACACUGGUUACCCGACGGUAAUGUAUUGUGUUGGCAAGGGAAGCACCUAGCUCUGGUGGUGAUUGGUGUUUUGUUUGGAAUAGCUACUGUUCUGUAUACUAUAAUGCUCCUUUAUUCAACCAUUGCAAAGAUAUUCUCAUGUGAGGGGACUGAGAUGGGUGGCUAAACUAAAGCCAUUUUUGACGCUUACACUAGCCCUCAUGUGAUCAAGCAUCGCUAUCGAUUCUGGACUGGGCUGUUACUCUUAUUUAGAAUGAUUAGUAGUAUUUGGUUUGCUGUUACCUCAAAGAACAACGAGUACAAGGACUAUGGGGUAGCAUUGACAGUAAUAUGCAUCCUUAUUUUGAGUAUUAUUGUUUUUCUUGGAGGAAUCUACAAACAACAGUGGUUGAAUAUUCUUAAUGCUUCGUUUUACACAAAUCUAACCAUUUUGUCAUUUUUUUCAUUUUAUUCGGCUACAAGACAACCUGAAUUUAGUGGAAGAGGCAACGAAACACAAAUCACUGCCACUUACACUUCACUAGUCAUAGCCUUUGUGACGUUUCUGUUCAUUCUCGCCUACCAUGUGUACAAACGUCUGAAAGAGACCAGUCUGCUCGCUCGCUGUGUGGGAAGUAUUCAGGGGACUCGAUGUUGGAGAGCAGCUGUCGAACACUGGAACAGAGGCAGGAUACAAUACGUAAGGCUGCCCCAAGAAGACCCUCAGGUUCAAGAAAUGAACAAUGAUUUCAAUGGCGAAAGACAGCUCGACGAGAAUUAUAACUGGGAGAGAGAGCUAGAUGUACAAGACAGAGAGCUCAAUUCUGAAGAUGAUCAUGUUCCAAAACCUGAUUCACAAGAAGAAAGCUGCGAGCCAAGAUCAAGUGAAGAAACCAAUUAAAGUUUAUUUAGAUACAUUGUAGCUAUCCAUACACACUUGUGUGAAAUACUGCAUUAGACAUAAAAAACAGAAAGUACUUACUAGUAUAAACAUUUCAUAAUGUAAAUGAUACACAUUGCAACAACAUUGCAAAGUGCAUAUACUUGACAAUGACUAAUAAUUAUAUUGAAAGAUAUGCCAAACUAUAAUAUUAUUGUGCCUAAAAGUCCACAUUGUCAAACAAAGACGCUGUACAAACAUGACUUCACUAGUGGUCCUGGUUGAUUGCACUUCAAGUUUUAACUUCUGCCAACCAACUUGAAAUCCUCUGUAUUGCAGGUACCAUUAUUAGAUCAAACAUGUUAUCAGUCACACAUGUACAGAGCACUUAACACAUUACAAACAAGGAGUGUGGUUAAGAUGUUAGUGAAUCCGCAAAAAAGGACCGCAAUACUAUUCAGAUUAAGACCAGGAAGACGCUCCAUCCCCUCAUCUGCUCUUGACCGUAUACAUGUAUAUAGGGUGUAAAUUUGGCGAGGAAAUGAAGAUGUACAAGAGAGAGAGCAUUCUGAAGAUAAUCAUGUCCACAAGAUCUAAUUCACGAGGAGAAAACAGUGAGCCAAGAUCAAGUGAAGAUACCAACUGAGAAACUAAAGAUACAUUGUAGCUAUAUCUAGAGAGUGUAGACACAUUUGUGUCAAGUACUGCAUUAUAGAAAUAGAAAUAGAAAACAAAAUGUACUUGCAAGUAUAUACAUAAUGUAAAUUGCAACAAUAUUGCAAA